UACGUAGGGGGCGAGCGUUGUCCGGAUUUAUUGGGCGUAAAGGGUUCGUAGGCGGCCGAUUAAGUCAGGUGUGAAAGGUCACGGCUUAACCGUGGUAAGCACUUGAAACUGGUUGGCUUGAGUUAAGGAGAGGGAAGUGGAAUUCCUGGUGUAGCGGUGAAAUGCGUAGAUAUCAGGAGGAAUACCAGUGGCGAAGGCGACUUCCUGGCCUUAAACUGACGCUGAGGAACGAAAGCGUGGGGAUCAAACA
This 250-nucleotide ribosomal RNA is filed under the name uncultured prokaryote. RNAcentral's name for it is "partial 16S ribosomal RNA". It matches the Rfam family "Bacterial small subunit ribosomal RNA", at positions 524 to 774 of the family's 1533-position model. The record is from RNAcentral.